RNAcentral lists this ribosomal RNA (378 nucleotides) under uncultured bacterium. RNAcentral's name for it is "bacterial SSU rRNA". It matches the Rfam family "Bacterial small subunit ribosomal RNA", at positions 523 to 898 of the family's 1533-position model. The record is from RNAcentral.
AAACGUAGGAGGCGAGCGUUAUCCGGAUUUACUGGGCGUAAAGCGCGUGCAGGCGGCCCGGCAAGUUGGCUGUGAAAGCCCCCGGCUCAACCGGGGGAGGUCGGUCAAAACUGCCGGUGCUAGAGGAUGGGAGAGGGAGAUGGAAUUCCGGGUGUAGUGGUGAAAUGCGUAGAGAUCCGGAGGAACACCAGUGGCGAAAGCGAUCUUCUGGCCCAUCACUGACGCUCAGACGCGAAAGCUAGGGGAGCGAACGGGAUUAGAGACCCCGGUAGUCCUAGCCGUAAACGAUGUAGACUAGGCGUGGGCGGGUUCAAAUCCGUCCGUGCCGCAGCCAACGCGAUAAGUCUACCGCCUGGGGACUACGGCCGCAAGGUUAAA